Suncus etruscus (white-toothed pygmy shrew) is the source of this 151-nucleotide long non-coding RNA. RefSeq lists it as uncharacterized. NCBI's taxonomy places the organism in Eukaryota, Metazoa, Chordata, Mammalia, Eulipotyphla, Soricidae. The record is from RefSeq and is a predicted model, not a curated record. The transcript is spliced from 3 exons.
CAUGGCCGCGAGCGCCCUGGAGGUCUUCGGGCUCCCGGAGGACGAGGAGAAUUCUCGAAUUGUACGGGUGAAAAUUAUAGCUGGCAUAGGACUUGCCAAGAAGGAUAUCUUGGGUUCUAGACUUUGAAUCCAAAAUGGAAUGAAGAAAUAU